AUUUGCAAAAAAUGAAAAUACCCUACCUCCAAUUAACUAAAUUAAUAAUCCUUAUAUUUAAACAAAAAUUUCAUACUUUUCGCAAUGAUCAGUAUCAAUAUUUGUACCACAGUACGUAUUUCGGGACGUAAUCAAGUAAGCCAUUGUUGGAAUUCGUAACCGGACCGUACUUUUCGUCUUUCUUAAAACUUCCUCGCGCCUUCUCGGUGUAUUGCAGUCUCGAACGCGCUUUCUUACGCUUCCGCUUCGCAACGCACGAUCGUCAAGAAAAGACGCCCGAAUGGAGUGGCAGGGUGGGAGGGAAGGUGAAUUCGCGAGGCGAAGCGACGGCAAGGGGGGUUGGUUCGGGGAGAAGGGGACCUGGCAUUUCUCGCAGAAAGGACCGAGCGAGCUAUGAAAUACGACUCAGCUAUCCUCCAACGCCAACCGCCGCUCGACGUUCCUGGAGGCGUCGGCAGCCACCUAAUGCGGAUACAAUGGUCGACAGUUGUUACCGGUGCUUCUUGCGCGUCGCUUUUUUACGCCGCGCCGCGCUGAGCGCGUCGGGCCAGCUGCGUUCCUUCUUCGUCGCGGCGACGAGAAAAAUCUAUUCACGACAGGCCUUUUGCGAGGACUUUUGCAGUACUAACGUGGCUCGUCCCCGACAAAACAAAAGGGAAUCUCUAAUUAAGCGGCGCAAUCUUUUGCAAACUUUAAUCGUUCUAUAAUUAUUGCUCUAACUCCCGUUUCUUGUCAAAUGCAACGUGGUCGUCAAUCGGGGUAAUUAUGACACAAUUUUGGUGCACUCGAUGAUGAAUCGGAAAAGCGGUAAUUAUUUAUUUAACAUAAAGUUACAAUAAACUGACAGACAUCAAUUAAAUGUGUAAAAAAAUUAUGUGUUAUUCGCUGAAGGCAUAAAACUCUUAGUUAUCCUGAAACAGUUUUAUUUAGCGGGAGAAAGUCUGCAGAUCUGAAAGAACAAUUCUUUCCUUCGCAAAAUGUAUAUUUACGUCUUCCAAUAGGAAUAACAAUAACGAAUGUUCUUUAUCGCCUUGAUGUAGAACGAGACAUAUAUUUAUACCGUUUGGAAGCCCAGAAGGCGUUUAAAUCACGAGGGGUAUAAGUGAAAUGUAUAAAACCAUUACGGUUAUCCCGGUCUAAAGCCGGCAACGUCAUUAGGAUCCGUCCGAUGUGGUCGCGGCCGUAUUGUUGCUGCGCGUUUGCGCGCCACGUUCCAUUUUCACGUAACGCACACACAUUUCCCUGGAUAGGCUAUCCCUCGCGGUCGUUUUAUCGAUACGAACAACGCCCGCGUGCCUGCAGAUCGCCUGAUUACGCUCUCUGGAAAAUCAUCAGCGAACUUUCUCAACAUCCCCUUCAUUUGUGCCCGCUUCGCUUUCUCUCCUCUUCUCUCUCUCUCUCUCUCUCUCUCUCUCUCUCUCUCUCUCUCUCUCUCUCUCUCUCUCUCUCUCUCUCUCUCUCUUUCUCUCUAUUUAUCCCGUUUUACCCUUGGAAACUUUGCUAUUCGCGCGAGCGUGGUUUGCAAGGUAAUUAUGUAGCCGACGAAACAUCUAACGUGGAGUGUAACGCCACCAGAAAUACGUGACGAGAUGUGAAAAUUAAAUGCUCAUAUUUCUGUCACGCGAGGAUCCUCAAGGACCUUGUAAAUUACCGGACAAAUCUAGUGAAUUAAUUUUCGAUAAGCGAUUAUUAAUUUUCUCGCGAUUCUAUGGAAUAAUUGUACAGUUUAACUCUCUCCAAUUAAACAGAUAUCUAUUGGAUUAGAAUUAUUCUGUGAAAAUUGCCACUCUUCGUCCUCAAAUUUGAAUUUAAUCUUUGGAAAAAUAAUAUCAACCGGGAAUUUAUGUUAGGAAUUCAAGUCAAUAAAUUUUAGUUUCUAUCAAUCUUUUUGGAACGUCAACCAAUGAUUAAGUCCCCAAGGUUUGCCCGAAGGGCAAAAAAGAAACGGCGGAUAAAGGGGGUAAUCCAUGAUCGCAGAAAGAAAAUCGACGCGCGCGUUUCUUGCGCGAUUCUUUCCUCACGAGCGGACAGUCACCGCGAGACACACACAGCAUCUCCGGUAAACGACACUCGUCGACGCUGCCACGACGUCACACGUGAUCGCGAGUAGUUAAGAUAAUCGCCGUGAAGAGAGAUAAGAACAUUCGUGGCUCGCAUCGUAUCUGCGAUGGAUGGUGAACGUUUGCACAUCGACGAAAAGAAUCUCUCCUCUUGUGGGAAAUGUUCGAUCCGAAUCCGAUACUUCCGGUCGUUUGAACCUGGCAUUAUCGAGAAUGAAGUUUCUAUCUUUUUUUAAACGAAAUUUAAACUCGUUGAUCGCGCAAAUGUUUCUUUUAAUAUCAUAAGUAGAUAGACCAGCAUUAUCACAUACUGCAGCAAGAAUAUACGAUGUGAUUGAAUAUUAAUUAUAAAUGAUAUUACAUUAUAUUUCAUAACUUAAUAAUCGUCUUAUAUCGUUAUUUUGCUCUAGUUUUAUUUUAAUAUUUCCAUUAAGUUGCAUAUCCAAAAACAGCAAUGUUUUCCUUCAAUACGUCUAUCUCGUUUCAAACUUAGCACAAGCUGCUAAAUUAAAAUUAUGCUAGAGUAAGAAUCGGUCACGUCGCACUCCUUUCGGCGACGAACCGAGGAGCGGUCAAAUGAAAAUCAAUCCCCGUCUCCUGAAUGAUCUGCGUCAUCGUUCUUUAAUAUCGCAAUUCCGAGGCCCGUUGUUCUCGAUACUGCUAUCGUCACGCGACAAAAACGCGACAAGAGCGUUGACGAAUAAUAGGCAAGGAAAGUAUCGGCACGAUUUCUUGAAACCGCAACGCCUUCUCUCCGUUCCUCUCCGUUCAUUCUGUUCUUUCUCGUGCCACGCAACAAACAAACGGCGUUGGUGGCAGUCCCCGGUGGUGGCGUCCCAUCGUACACACAGUGUUUUAUAACCGACGCUCCUGCCGGCGUAAAAACACACACGAUCGCCAACGGUUAACGCCAGAACGUCGCUGCUGAACGUUCCUGCACUUUAUUCCUUGCUCUUCCUCCUCUCUUCCUCCGUCUCUCUCUUUCUCUUUCUCUCUCUCUCUCUCUCUCUUUCCCCUUCGAUGUCGUCGUUCCUCCUGGAUUUUAUACGACCGCCAUCCGCACCCCGCGCCUCUUCCGCUUUUUACUGCUGAACAAUACACAAUUCUGUCCUUCCGUAGAGAUAUAUCCCGGGUGAACACGCGCUCCUGCUUGCUCGCGAAAUGCGCCGCGUCGCGACGCGCCGCAUCGAGGGUGGCUUCGUUUACAUUCGAGUCUACUGUUCAUCCAGAGUACGAGCGCACUCGAGGGUUGUUUCGAGUGAUCGAGAGCGGAUUGUCCAUACCGUUAACCAUUUCCACGUUGCUCUUCCGUUAUAAAGUAAUAAAGUAUAUUGCGUCGCCUGUGAUUAACAUCGAGUGCCGCACAAUGUAAUUAACUGUGUUUUCGCGAGUGUUUUGUGAUUGCCAUGUGAAGGGACAAGAAGAACCUGAGAGCAGAAGCAGGCCUGGGAAGCAUUAAGCGACGGCGGCGGUGAAGCAAUCAUGAGGUAAGUAUUUUACUUAUUUAUUAUUCGUAAAAUUGUUUAUAAUCAUUUUCUUCUAAAAUAUAUAAGUUAGUCGAAAAAAGCUAAUAUUUAACUAUGUAUUUAAUUUACUUUGUAUGCAUUUAUGAAAAAAGAAAUAAA
This 3685-nucleotide long non-coding RNA is filed under the name Monomorium pharaonis (pharaoh ant). Its description in RNAcentral is "uncharacterized LOC118644840". The record is from RNAcentral. Lineage: Eukaryota; Metazoa; Arthropoda; Insecta; Hymenoptera; Formicidae.